GUGUAGACUAUGACAGACAGCCUCUCCCUGAGGGUGUAGACUAUGACAGACAGCCUCUCCCUGAGGGUGUAGACUAUGACAGACAGCCUCUCCUGGGGGUGUAGACUAUGACAGACAACCUCUCCCUGAGGGUGUAGACUAUGACAGACAGCCUCUCCUGGGGGUGUAGACUAUGACAGACAGCCUCUCCUGGGGGUGUAGACUAUGACAGACAACCUCUCCCUGGGGGUGUAGACUAUGACAGACAGCCUCUCCCUGAGGGUGUAGACUAUGACAGACAGCCUCUCCUGGGGGUGUAGACUAUGACAGACAGCCUCUCCUUGGGGGUGUAGACUAUGACAGACAGCCUCUCCCUGAGGGUGUAGACUAUGACAGACAGCCUCUCCCUGGGGGUGUAGACUAUGACAGACAGCCUCUCCUGGACAAUUUGGCCUGCUACAAUUUUAUUUAUCAUCUAUAAAAAAAAAUGAAAUUAAUAUGUAAAAAAAAAUAAACAAAUGUUGUUUCCAUCAAAUUGACUUGUAGCAGAUAAAAGUCUGUGAGUAAAUAUGUAGUGCUCAUAACAAUACCGUUGGAGGUUCAAUGUGUUUCCAUGGCAUUUUCAACUCUUUAUGAUAGUUCUGUCACAACGUUACGUAGGUAUAGCAAAUGUCCCCACUCUGGUAUUGCCACGUGCACUCUAGCCAACAGCUGACAGAUACAGGUCUGGUAUUGUCACGUGCACUAACCAACAGCUGACAGAUACAGGUCAGGUAUUGCCACGUGCACUAGCCAACAGCUGACAGAUACAGGUCUGGUAUUGCCACGUGCACUAACCAACAGCUGACAGAUACAGGUCUGGUAUUGCCACGUGCACUAACCAACAGCUGACAGAUACAGGUCUGGUAUUGUCACGUGCACUCUAGCCAACAGCUGACAGAUACAGGUCUGGUAUUGUCACGUGCACUCUAGCCAACAGCUGACAGAUACAGGUCUGGUAUUGCCACGUGCACUCUAGCCAACAGCUGACAGAUACAGGUCUGGUAUUGUCACGUGCACUCUAGCCAACAGCUGACAGAUACAGGUCUGGUAUUGUCACGUGCACUCUAGCCAACAGCUGACAGAUACAGGUCUGGUAUUGCCACGUGCACUCUAGCCAACAGCUGACAGAUACAGGUCUGGUAUUGUCACGUGCACUCUAGCCAACAGCUGACAGAUACAGGUCUGGUAUUGCCACGUGCACUCUAACCAACAGCUGACAGAUACAGGUCUGGUAUUGCCACGUGCACUCUAGCCAACAGCUGACAGAUACAGGUCUGGUAUUGCCACGUGCACUCUAGCCAACAGCUGACAGAUACAGGUCUGGUAUUGCCACGUGCACUCUAGCCAACAGCUGACAGAUACAGGUCAGGUAUUGUCACGUGCACUCUAGCCAACAGCUGACAGAUACAGGUCAGGUAUUGUCACGUGCACUAACCAACAGCUGACAGAUACAGGUCUGGUAUUGUCACGUGCACUAACCAACAGCUGACAGAUACAGGUCUGGUAUUGUCACGUGCACUAACCAACAGCUGACAGAUACAGGUCUGGUAUUGUCAUGUGCACUCUAGCCAACAGCUGACAGAUACAGGUCUGGUAUUGUCAUGUGCACUCUAGCCAACAGCUGACAGAUACAGGUCUGGUAUUGUCACGUGCACUAACCAACAGCUGACAGAUACAGGUCUGGUAUUGUCACGUGCACUAACCAACAGCUGACAGAUACAGGUCUGGUAUUGUCAUGUGCACUCUAGCCAACAGCUGACAGAUACAGGUCAGGUAUUGUCACGUGCACUAACCAACAGCUGACAGAUACAGGUCUGGUAUUGUCACGUGCACUCUAGCCAACAGCUGACAGAUACAGGUCUGGUAUUGCCACGUGCACUCUAACCAACAGCUGACAGAUACAGGUCUGGUAUUGUCACGUGCACUCUAGCCAACAGCUGACAGAUACAGGUCUGGUAUUGCCACGUGCACUCUAGCCAACAGCUGACAGAUACAGGUCUGGUAUUGUCACGUGCACUAACCAACAGCUGACAGAUACAGGUCUGGUAUUGUCACGUGCACUAACCAACAGCUGACAGAUACAGGUCUGGUAUUGCCACGUGCACUCUAGCCAACAGCUGACAGAUACAGGUCUGGUAUUGCCACGUGCACUCUAGCCAGCAGCUGACAGAUACAGGUCUGGUAUUGCCACGUGCACUCUAGCCAACAGCUGACAGACACAGGUCUGGUAUUGCCACGUGCACUCUAGCCAACAGCUGACAGAUACAGGUCUGGUAUUGCCUACUACACUAACAAGAAUAACAUGGACAAAAGUGCGAGAUAAUUUUUAUUUGUCAAAGGGCAGCCAAGUAUCAAUCAUCAUGUCACCCAAAUAAGAGCCUCUAUACUUAUUGUAAAGGAGCAUCAAGAUCAUCACCGGGCUCUUUCACCACCCUGUGAAGUUCAUCAUCACUUAUUUAAUCUGUAGACUAAUAAACGGCAUGCUUUUC
Long non-coding RNA from Oncorhynchus tshawytscha (Chinook salmon), 2510 nucleotides. RefSeq lists it as uncharacterized. The record is from RefSeq and is a predicted model, not a curated record. NCBI's taxonomy places the organism in Eukaryota, Metazoa, Chordata, Actinopteri, Salmoniformes, Salmonidae. The transcript has 3 exons.